GCUCAUCAUCCCCAAAAUCAUCAUCAGCAAUCUGCCGGGGACCAGCCGAUGUUCUCGGCCUCUCAACUGCUGGCCCCAAGGGAUCCGAGUAACUGGCAUCUGGAAAUUUAGUAGCAACAAUUAUGCAAACAAAGUUUGAAAGACUUUGGUGCUGGAACAUCCAGAAACGUUCAACAAACCAUUCUACAGCCUGAUCCACAUCACCAAGCAGCUGAUACAGGUGACCAAGUUGAUACAGAGCUUCAGGUUGAUGGCGAACAAUAGCCUGAAGUUUUAAAAAGCAAUCCAAAGCAUCCUCAUGUAAGCCUAGCUGCUUGUUGGCCAGACCUGCAAAAAAUAUCACACCAAAAAUCUGCACAAAGAAACAAGUCCUUUGCCUUUUCAAGAUCACCUGCAGCCAGGCUGCAGCAUCCGAGAUUUACAAAGGCAGCUGCAUUAUAACCAUCAGCUGUUCGGGAAGAUUCACUGAAUUUCUUGGCCUGCUCAAUGUCGCCUUGC
Molecule: long non-coding RNA, 498 nt
Organism: Frankliniella occidentalis (western flower thrips)
Lineage: Eukaryota; Metazoa; Arthropoda; Insecta; Thysanoptera; Thripidae
Exons: 3
Source: RefSeq, a predicted model, not a curated record